Dendronephthya gigantea is the source of this 2896-nucleotide long non-coding RNA. RefSeq lists it as uncharacterized. The record is from RefSeq and is a predicted model, not a curated record. The transcript has 5 exons. NCBI's taxonomy places the organism in Eukaryota, Metazoa, Cnidaria, Anthozoa, Malacalcyonacea, Nephtheidae.
AUGCUUGUUUUUGAAAGUAGCCAAGCUGUUUUUUUCAUAUUUUUAAACAUUGAUCACGCGUAAAUUGCAUGCCGAAAAUGAUGGUUCUGGACAAACAAACGACAGUUCACAUGCACUCUUGAAGUACUUCAAUCCUUAAUUCUUUUGACGUCAAAACAUGACAUGUAAUUAAUGAUUGCUAAUGGCCGAAAUUUAUAUAUAUUAGUCAGGUAUAAUUCAGUACAAACAUCGACUAUUUCCCCCAUGUCUUACUAAAGUGGUAUUUGCAUUGAGGGUAGGCCUACAUAUCUUUAUUUCCUCAACAACCCUAUUUCAACUCUUCUCAACGACUUCUUUUGCAUGCAUAUCAUACUGAAUUAUAUAACCCAAAACUAAAGGUAGGCCUAGCCGGUGUUAGUAUUGCUUCUAGUCAUUUUAUUCUAUUUUUAUCAAACACCGCGUAUAUAUUUAUUACCUUAACUUAAGUUUUAUACUUAGUUUUAUCUUACGUCCAAAUGCAUAGGUUUUCUUGGUUUUUCGUCUUCUCAGUAACCACUUCCUCACCGUCAUUCCACACCUAUGGCUAUGAGACAUGUUAUUGGAACAUAAAUAUAACUAUAUUCGUGUUGAAUAUUAUGGAAGAUAAUGAUACAAAUAACAUGCACGUAUUAAAUCACAAGAAAUAGGGCAUAUAAUUUCAUAUAAGCUUUUGUAUCAAGACUGACGACUUUUUACAAAGUCAUCUGUCAGUAUAAAGACAGCUGAAGUGCAGCAAAGUGUUUACGAGAGUCGGAAUGUAGCUACUUAAAAACAAUGCAAACUGAGGAAUGAAAAUAGCUUUUUAACGAUUAUUGCUGAUGUUGAUAUGCUUGUAUUUCGAAAACUUUUGUUUGAUAUAUUGACGAAAAAAAAGAAAGAUUGCAUGUGACUUGUGGUAAAAAAAAUGUGAAAUUACUAUAUCCUGAGUCUGAGAGCAAGCGUCAUACAGUUUUCCGUUUUAUAGAAUAUUAUGAUGUUUUGAUACCCGUAAAGUAAUAUAUGUACAAAAUAUGUAUAAGUACAAAAUUAUUUCACUCCAGCAACACUGCACGAGCAGUUUAUGUCCCGCGUACCUAUAUAUUCGUAUAAUUACUACAACUAAAACCCAGAUUAAAUUACAACAUACAUACGUAUUUUAAGAUAAAUAGCUACAUGGAACAUGAUGGCAACACAGAGUAACUAAAACGAAUGAAGAAAGUGGAAAAUGCCCUGAAAGAUUUAGUGCCUGAGGUUCAAAACCUUCGGUGACCUAAAUGUGUGUAGAAGAAGGCGUAGAUUGGAUCGAGAGCCGAGAGGUUCCGGAGGCUACAUGCGUCAAUCAUCAAUCAUCAAUAUUUCCUGAUCUGUUAUUUAUGAUGCAAUCUCUUUUCCAGGCUAUUUUUGGCUUAUUCGGUUCGGUUAGCUCAGGGAAAAAGCAAGGCUCACGAAACAUAGUAAUGAUUCAACUUCGAAGUUUCAUGAAAGGGCUCAUUUGAAGUUAGCGUAGUAUAUGAAUGAAAUUUUAUGCUUAUGAAAUUACGAAUUACGAAAGGAUAUUAUAUACAGCAGUUAGUCCAUGCGUGUUUUUAAAGAUUAUAAGGUAAUUUAACUGUAAAUUUGUUUGUCUGAAAGCCACUGUUUUUUUCGCACUCGUGUGUCAUGGUAGAUAUCGUCACAUCUGAGAACCCUUUCUUCCUUUAGUGAUCUUCAUAUGUAAUUUAAUUUAAACUUCUUUGUGGGUUUUGUUUUUCUUAGCCGAAUUUUGUAGUAUAUUACAGCUGAAAUAUACUAAAGCUGAAAGUUUUCAGUGCAAGGAUGCAAUCGUUGCUUUAUAUUUUUCGGCGUCUGCUAAUAUUAAAAUAAUGCUGCACUUCAGGUCUUCUUCACGUCCCAAGUUAGAAAGAGAAUUUCGUCCAAAGGCAAAGCGGACUGACGCGCCAGCAACAAUUAAGCUUGUUUUAGUCAAAGCGGGUUAACUGGGCAAACGCAUGUAGCCGUUAGGUUUAACGAUAGACAAUCCAAAAGACAAUUUUGUCUUUUCGCUUGUUUAUGGUUUAACAUACCUGCAAUUUACAAAUUAUUAAGUAAGCAGCCGCUAGCUUGGUUUGCAUGACUAUAAUGUUUUGUUGUGUGCCUGAAUCGGAAAUUGUAAUAAGGUGCUUGUAUAGAUAUUGACUGGUGUUCAAGUGAUACUGUGAUACGGAAGUGAAAGUGAUGAUUGAUCUUCAUCAUGAAGAACAAGAAGACUUUCGUGAGUGUAGCAUAAUGCAAAUUUGCAGGAAUAUUGCUAAGUUAUGCAUAAAUCAGCAUAAACAGCGCGUAUAAAGCUAGUCGAAAACCGCAGCUUGAUAACAGAAGUGAGAAGAAGUUCAGAAGACAACAAGAAAAAUCUAAGGAAGAAUAAAGUGCAGAGAUGAGGACAUUGUAUUUGUUACUUGCACUUGGUCUGCUGUGUGCAGUGGUAUAUUCAAUACCAGUCGAAGAUGAUGAACCUUUGGAAAACGAGUUGAAAGAAGAGAAUGAUGAAAAUGCCUUGGAAGAAGACGAUGAAGACGAUGAAGACGACGACGAUGGCGAAGUUCAAGUUCAAGCAGAUCCUUCAGCAAGAUAUAGGAGGCCGAGGUACAGGGGCGGAUUUCGCAGGCGUAGGCAAGGCAGGCGCAGACGUAGCAGGGGUGGAUAUGGCGGGCGCAGGGUUGGAUAUGGCAGGCGCAGGGUUGGAUAUGGCGGGCGCAGGGGAGGACGUAGAUAUGGUCACCGUGGAUAAAUAUGCUACUUGAUGAUAAAAGACUGGACACGCUGAAAUGAAUGGACAACAUUAAAAUGAUAGCUUUUUAAAUUAGUGGCCAUUCUUUCCAAAUGUAAUUGUAGAAUUAUGAAAAAUCAUGCAUUGACUAUA